GUAGGGGGCAAGCGUUGUCCGGAUUUAUUGGGCGUAAAGAGCGUGUAGGCGGCCAGAUAGGUCUGUUGUGAAAACUCGAGGCUCAACCUCGAGACGCCGAUGGAAACCAUUUGGCUAGAGUCCGGAAGAGGAGAGUGGAAUUCCUGGUGUAGCGGUGAAAUGCGCAGAUAUCAGGAAGAACACCCGUGGCUAAGGCGGCUCUCUAGUACGGUACUGACGCUGAGACGCGAAAGCGUGGGGAGCGAACAGGAUUAGAUACCCUGGUAGUCCACGCCGUAAACGAUGGGUGCUAGGUGUGGGGGGUGUCGACUCCCUCCGUGCCGAAGCUAACGCAUUAAGCACCCCGCCUGGGGAGUACGGCCGCAAGGCUA
RNAcentral lists this ribosomal RNA (371 nucleotides) under uncultured bacterium. Its description in RNAcentral is "bacterial SSU rRNA". It matches the Rfam family "Bacterial small subunit ribosomal RNA", at positions 527 to 896 of the family's 1533-position model. The record is from RNAcentral.